This 492-nucleotide ribosomal RNA is filed under the name uncultured bacterium. RNAcentral's name for it is "partial 16S ribosomal RNA". It matches the Rfam family "Bacterial small subunit ribosomal RNA", at positions 29 to 507 of the family's 1533-position model. The record is from RNAcentral.
AGUGAACGCUGGCGGUAGGCCUAACACAUGCAAGUCGAACGGCAGCACAGUAAGAGCUUGCUCUUACGGGUGGCGAGUGGCGGACGGGUGAGGAAUACAUCGGAAUCUACUUUUUCGUGGGGGAUAACGUAGGGAAACUUACGCUAAUACCGCAUACGACCUACGGGUGAAAGCAGGGGAUCUUCGGACCUUGCGCGAUUGAAUGAGCCGAUGUCGGAUUAGCUAGUUGGCGGGGUAAAGGCCCACCAAGGCGACGAUCCGUAGCUGGUCUGAGAGGAUGAUCAGCCACACUGGAACUGAGACACGGUCCAGACUCCUACGGGGGGCAGCAGUGGGGAAUAUUGGACAAUGGGCGCAAGCCUGAUCCAGCCAUACCGCGUGGGUGAAGAAGGCCUUCGGGUUGUAAAGCCCUUUUGUUGGGAAAGAAAAGCAGCAAGUUAAUACCCCGCUGUUCUGACGGUACCCAAAGAAUAAGCACCGGCUAACUUCGUG